Molecule: ribosomal RNA, 254 nt
Filed under: uncultured bacterium
Lineage: Bacteria
Description: partial 16S ribosomal RNA
Rfam family: Bacterial small subunit ribosomal RNA
Source: RNAcentral
UACAGAGGGUGCGAGCGUUGUCCGGAAUCACUGGGCGUAAAGGGCGCGUAGGUGGCCCGGUCAGUUCGUGGUGAAAGCGCGGGGCUCAACCCUGCGUCGGCCAUGAAUACUGCCGCGGCUGGAGCACUGUAGAGGCAGGCGGAAUUCCGGGUGUAGCGGUGGAAUGCGUAGAGAUCCGGAAGAACACCGGUGGCGAAGGCGGCCUGCUGGGCAGUUGCUGACACUGAGGCGCGACAGCGUGGGGAGCAAACAGG